AAUAAGUGCAGUUUUGCACUGUUCAUCUCCAACGUUUGACCAUUCGUCUUAUUUGAAAGAUUUUUUAUGAUUAGUAUUUUUGUUGUUAUUAGAUGAUAAAAUAUGAAUAGUAUUUUUGUUGUUAUUAGAUGAUAAAAUAUGAAUAGUAUUUAUGUGCGACUAAUUUUUCUUAACUUUUUUAUAAUUUUUUUAAAUAAGACGGACGGUCAAACGUUGGACACGGAUAUCCACGACUGCGCUUAUU
Oryza barthii is the source of this 244-nucleotide non-coding RNA. Lineage: Eukaryota; Viridiplantae; Streptophyta; Magnoliopsida; Poales; Poaceae. The record is from Rfam.